This is a long non-coding RNA of Anguilla rostrata (American eel), 2655 nucleotides long. RefSeq lists it as uncharacterized. NCBI's taxonomy places the organism in Eukaryota, Metazoa, Chordata, Actinopteri, Anguilliformes, Anguillidae. The record is from RefSeq and is a predicted model, not a curated record. The transcript has 5 exons.
CGGUGUCAGCGUAAAUACUGUUGCCGGUACAAAACCUGUUUCUUUUCGCUUCCGGUAAACCCCUAUCACAUGAUUUAAACUUCGGUAGGCCUACAUUGUUUUGAACAUCUGUACGUACAGUUAUACUCUUCCACUCUUUUGUAGCUGUUCGCACUUAGCUAAAUGCAUUUCUCCUUGCUAACUAGCUUUCUGCAGUUCACUUGCUUUAGCUGUUUAGAUUACAGUGCUUUAGGCUGCAGGCUAAUAAUCUGGUAAAACUGUCCAACCCAGAUGCUAUGUGAAGAACCGCAUAGUUACACAUGCUUAGCGUUGUUUCAAAAACGGGGUCAAUACAAAUGACACCAGCUCCCGAACUGGACUGAAAGCGGAAGGCAACAGGUUUUGUACCCGCAACAGUCUUUGCACUUACUGUACACCGGUUCAUUCUUGCUCAGUAGAUGGCGCGGUUACACUUUAAGAAUUCACUGACUAUUCUCAUCAAGCAUGAAUAAAAGAGGCCUGUUGGUGUAGUCAAUAUGAUCCACCUGGCAGCACAGCACCUGCCUGGGAGAUCAAGGUGAUUCCUGUACCCAAUAUGCUUUCAAUAUCUUCCUAUAACCUGGCAAUUCAUUUUUGUCCCCUGUAGCAAGACAGGAACUUAUGCAUACCAAGACGACCCCCCCCCCCCACCCCCACCCCUCCCUCCUCAACCAACUGACAAAUCUGGGACAGUGCAAAAAACUAGGGCAACUGCUCUUUUAUUCUGUACAACAACACAGGCCACUGUGUAACGUCUGCUCUGACAGUUACAGCUCUAUCUCAAGCUAAUCAUUUUGGAUGCUCUGUCAAAUUGCUGUCAUAAAACCCAAUAUUGUCCAUAAAGCAUAAAACUCUGUGAACUUCACUGACCUUCAGGCUUACUGUGCUGGGAAAGCCAAGCCCCACGGGCUUAUGGCGAUGACCGCACACCCUCUCGCCCUGUGCUUGGGAACAUUUGUACGGUUUAUGAGGUCCGAAACGCUGUGUUUGGUGGGGUGGCCACACUGCAGCCCACGGGCCAAGCUUUCCCCAGUCAGAAGAUGCUUCACGUGUAGCUUUAGCGAACUGACCUGGGUGCCUGGUUGACCAGCAGGGGUCACCAGAGAGAGCGAAGAAACAUAGUACCCUGCCAGCCGACUGAAUCCCACCCCCCCUGCUCAACACGAUCGCCGAUUGGGCGGGGUCCCUGCAGGACAGCUGGUCACAGUCGCUCUGGCAAGGUCCUACAAACAAAGACCAAGGGGCUCACCCAUGCACUCAAAUGUUGCACUAACAUGUUGUAUUAGCUGGGAAAUUCAGGAACUGUUUUAUACUUGGAGUUUUUUGGAAGGACUUUUUAGGAAGAAAGACAUUUAGAAACAUGCAAAAACAAGUCGUACUGUUCUCCUUUGUUACACUAUGUGCUUGAAAUGAAUCCGAAUUCUAAUCUAGGGUUAAAGACAUUAAAAGCAUUACAAGGGUAUUAAUGUGUUCUUUUAUGUAAAGUUCUUACAGGAUUGCCUCAGAAGACUGCAAAACUGUUUUGUGUACACAGUGGUUUCUGUUUUCACCUUCAGACUACAGCUAAAGAAUGACAAGAACAACAUGGAAACUUCUAAUCUUGCCUUUGUACACACCAAUGUGCAUAUGUUAAGAAAGCAGAACUGUGUUUGAAGGUAACAUCUCAAAGUGUUUGCAUGAAUUGACAUUUUCAAGUGUCAUGUUUAAAGGUCAGCAUUAUGAAUCCAACAAUAACCAGGUUUUCCACUAUGAAAAUUUAAUAAUAUAAAUUUUUAAUGACUUUUUUUGGAUGAAAUUAAAAGCAUUUUUUUGGCUAAUCCUGUGAAAUAUAUCAGUUAAAAAGAGAGUCAGUCAAUGAUUAACUGAUGUAAAGGGUAUAUGUGCUAGAAUGUGCUAGCUCUGAAACUAAAUAAUUUGAAUUUAUUUUGUUUUGCUUUCAUUGAUGAAAAAUGAUCUGUAGAUUUUGCUAGCUUCCGUACCUGUUCAGUUUUAAGACCUAAAUCCUCCUAAGUCAUGUGAUCAUGUACAUAAACUGAUUAAAUCAACAUUUGUCACUUUGAACAACUUAAGAACAGUUAAAAACAAGAAUUGCUUUUUUUCACAAACACAGUUUAAAAAGUAGCCAUCAGUAAAACUAACUUUCCUAACUUGAAUUGGUAGAGAAACACCUUACAUUUAUUUGUAAGUAAAAGUUAAGGACAGAUGUUAAUUGUAGACAGACUGCUAUCUCUGACAUUGAAGUCAGAUUCAUUGUACUGGGCAUGAGAUAUUUGUAGCUUGUGCAUUUUUAUGUUUAGCUUAAAAAAAAAAGCAGAAUUAGUGAUUAUGAAAAAUAGUUACAUUACCAGAGAAAUCUGGUCUUUCAUGGAUUCAGAAUUUCUAUAUCACGCGAGUGGUGGUGUAGCAGUCUGCUCAGGGAACUGGGCUCGUAACUCAGUUCAAAGGUUUUAAUCUCAGGUGAGGCAGUGUUGAUGUACUUUUGAACAAGGUGCAUCAACUGAAUUACUUGAUUGCAUCAACUGAAUUACCACAAUUACUUCAGUAAAUAUCCGGCUGUAUAAAUGCAUGGUAUGUAAAAAAAAAAGAAUAAGCCAUGUAAGGUCACUGUGGAUAAGAGUCACUGAUACAUUCCUGAAU